GACGAACGCUGGCGGCAUGCCUAAUACAUGCAAGUCGAACGAGACCUUCGGGUCUAGUGGCGCACGGGUGCGUAACGCGUGGGAACCUGCCCUUAGGUUCGGAAUAACUCCCCGAAAGGGGUGCUAAUACCGGAUAAUGUCUUCGGACCAAAGAUUUAUCGCCUUUGGAUGGGCCCGCGUUGGAUUAGCUAGUUGGUAGGGUAAAAGCCUACCAAGGCGACGAUCCAUAGCUGGUCUGAGAGGAUGAUCAGCCACACUGGGACUGAGACACGGCCCAGACUCCUACGGGAGGCAGCAGUGGGGAAUAUUGGACAAUGGGCGAAAGCCUGAUCCAGCAAUGCCGCGUGAGUGAUGAAGGCCUUAGGGUUGUAAAGCUCUUUUACCCGGGAUGAUAAUGACAGUACCGGGAGAAUAAGCUCCGGCUAACUCCGUG
RNAcentral lists this ribosomal RNA (433 nucleotides) under uncultured bacterium. RNAcentral's name for it is "partial 16S ribosomal RNA". It matches the Rfam family "Bacterial small subunit ribosomal RNA", at positions 28 to 507 of the family's 1533-position model. The record is from RNAcentral.